RNAcentral lists this ribosomal RNA (213 nucleotides) under uncultured bacterium. RNAcentral describes it as "partial 16S ribosomal RNA". It matches the Rfam family "Bacterial small subunit ribosomal RNA", at positions 126 to 334 of the family's 1533-position model. The record is from RNAcentral.
UAGCCUGGUAGCGGGGGAUAACUAUUGGAGACGAUAGCUAAUACCGCAUAAGAGUAGAUGUUGCAUGACAUUUACUUAAAAGGUGCAAUUGCAUCACUACCAGAUGGACCUGCGUUGUAUUAGCUAGUUGGUGAGGUAACGGCUCACCAAGGCAAUGAUACAUAGCCGACCUGAGAGGGUGAUCGGCCACACUGGGACUGAGACACGGCCCAG